CGUACGAGAAAUCCUGGGCAACUGGGAGAGUAAAGUGGCGCACGGGUGAGUAACGCGUGGGUAACCUACCCUUGAAUUGGGGAUAACUCCUCGAAAGGGGAGUUAAUACCGAAUAAUAUUCCAGUUCCCACGGGAGUUGGAAUCAAAGGUGGCCUCUGCAUGCAAGCUAUCGUUUAAGGAUGGGCCCGCGUGCCAUUAGCUAGUUGGUAGGGUAAUGGCCUACCAAGGCAACGAUGGUUAGCUGGUCUGAGAGGAUGGCCAGCCACACUGGAACUGAGACACGGUCCAGACUCCUACGGGAGGCAGCAGUGGGGAAUCUUGCGCAAUGGGGGAAACCCUGACGCAGCAACGCCGCGUGGGUGAUGAAGGCCUUCGGGUCGUAAAGCCCUGUCAGGUGGGAAGAAACCUGUGGAUGCUAAUAUCAUCCACACUUGACGGUACCACCGGAGGAAGCACCGGCUAACUCCGUGCCAGCAGCCGCGGUAAUACGGAGGGUGCAAGCGUUGUUCGGAAUUAUUGGGCGUAAAGCGCGUGUAGGUGGUUGGGUAAGUCAGAUGUGAAAGCCUCCUGCUUAACAGGAGAAGUGCAUUUGAAACUGCUCGGCUGGAGUACGGGAGAGGAGAGUGGAAUUCCCGGUGUAGAGGUGAAAUUCGUAGAUAUCGGGAGGAACACCAGUGGCGAAGGCGGCUCUCUGGUCCGAUACUGACGCUGAGACGCGAAAGCGUGGGGAGCAAACAGGAUUAGAUACCCUGGUAGUCCACGCCGUAAACGAUGGGCACUAGGUGUAGGAGGUAUUGACCCCUUCUGUGCCGAAGCUAACGCAUUAAGUGCCCCGCCUGGGGAGUACGGCCGCAAGGCUAAAACUCAAAUGAAUUGACGG
Molecule: ribosomal RNA, 880 nt
Filed under: uncultured bacterium
Lineage: Bacteria
Description: bacterial SSU rRNA
Rfam family: Bacterial small subunit ribosomal RNA
Source: RNAcentral